GGGGAUGUAGCUCAAUGGUAGAGCCUCAGUCUUCCAAACUGAUUACGCGAGUUCGAUUCUCGUCAUCCCCUCCG
RNAcentral lists this transfer RNA (74 nucleotides) under Terrimesophilobacter mesophilus. RNAcentral describes it as "Cryobacterium mesophilum tRNA-Gly". It matches the Rfam family "tRNA". From Rfam's summary of the family: Transfer RNA (tRNA) molecules are approximately 80 nucleotides in length. Their secondary structure includes four short double-helical elements and three loops (D, anti-codon, and T loops). Further hydrogen bonds mediate the characteristic L-shaped molecular structure. tRNAs have two regions of fundamental functional importance: the anti-codon, which is responsible for specific mRNA codon recognition, and the 3' end, to which the tRNAs corresponding amino acid is attached (by aminoacyl-tRNA synthetases). tRNAs cope with the degeneracy of the genetic code in two manners: having more than one tRNA (with a specific anti-codon) for a particular amino acid; and 'wobble' base-pairing, i.e. permitting non-standard base-pairing at the 3rd anti-codon position. The record is from RNAcentral. Lineage: Bacteria; Bacillati; Actinomycetota; Actinomycetes; Micrococcales; Microbacteriaceae.